Molecule: ribosomal RNA, 463 nt
Filed under: Nocardia inohanensis
Lineage: Bacteria; Bacillati; Actinomycetota; Actinomycetes; Mycobacteriales; Nocardiaceae
Description: bacterial SSU rRNA
Rfam family: Bacterial small subunit ribosomal RNA
Source: RNAcentral
GACGAACGCUAGCGGCGUGCUUAACACAUGCAAGUCGAGCGGUAAGGCCCUUCGGGGUACACGAGCGGCGAACGGGUGAGUAACACGUGGGUGAUCUGCCUCGCACUCUGGGAUAAGCCUGGGAAACUGGGUCUAAUACCGGAUAUGAGCAGCCUCUGCAUGGGGGCUGUUGGAAAGGUUUACUGGUGCGAGAUGGGCCCGCGGCCUAUCAGCUUGUUGGUGGGGUAACGGCCCACCAAGGCGACGACGGGUAGCCGACCUGAGAGGGUGACCGGCCACACUGGGACUGAGACACGGCCCAGACUCCUACGGGAGGCAGCAGUGGGGAAUAUUGCACAAUGGGCGAAAGCCUGAUGCAGCGACGCCGCGUGAGGGAUGACGGCCUUCGGGUUGUAAACCUCUUUUGACAGGGACGAAGCGCAAGUGACGGUACCUGUAGAAGAAGCACCGGCCAACUACGUGC